Molecule: non-coding RNA, 71 nt
Filed under: Mangrovibacter sp. MFB070
Lineage: Bacteria; Pseudomonadati; Pseudomonadota; Gammaproteobacteria; Enterobacterales; Enterobacteriaceae
Also listed under: 1 other name
Description: Fluoride riboswitch aptamer (crcB RNA motif)
Rfam family: Fluoride riboswitch aptamer (crcB RNA motif)
Source: Rfam by way of RNAcentral
AAAGCACAAGGUGAUGGCGUUCCACCUUACCCAACCGCUCCAUUCAGGGGGCUGAUGACGCCUGGCGUAAC